UACGAAGGGGGCUAGCGUUGUUCGGAAUUACUGGGCGUAAAGGGCGCGUAGGCGGUGUGUCAAGUCAGGCGUGAAAGCCCCGGGCUCAACCUGGGAACCGCGCUUGAGACUGGCACGCUCGAGUUCGGGAGAGGAUGGUGGAAUUCCCAGUGUAGAGGUGAAAUUCGUAGAUAUUGGGAAGAACACCGAUGGCGAAGGCAGCCCCCUGGGAUGUGACUGACGCUCAUGUACGAAAGCGUGGGGAGCAAACAGG
RNAcentral lists this ribosomal RNA (253 nucleotides) under uncultured bacterium. RNAcentral's name for it is "partial 16S ribosomal RNA". It matches the Rfam family "Bacterial small subunit ribosomal RNA", at positions 524 to 776 of the family's 1533-position model. The record is from RNAcentral.